AACGCUGGCGGCGUGCUUAACNCAUGCAAGUCGAACGAUGAUCCCAGCUUGCUGGGGGAUUAGUGGCGAACGGGUGAGUAACACGUGAGUAACCUGCCCUUGACUCUGGGAUAAGCCUGGGAAACUGGGUCUAAUACCGGAUAUGACUGUCUGACGCAUGUCAGGUGGUGGAAAGCUUUUGUGGUUUUGGAUGGACUCGCGGCCUAUCAGCUUGUUGGUGGGGUAAUGGCCUACCAAGGCGACGACGGGUAGCCGGCCUGAGAGGGUGACCGGCCACACUGGGACUGAGACACGGCCCAGACUCCUACGGGAGGCAGCAGUGGGGAAUAUUGCACAAUGGGCGCAAGCCUGAUGCAGCGACGCCGCGUGAGGGAUGACGGCCUUCGGGUUGUAAACCUCUUUCAGUAGGGAAGAAGCGAAAGUGACGGUACCUGCAGAAGAAGCGCCGGCUAACUACGUGCCAGCAGCCGCGGUAAUACGUAGGGCGCAAGCGUUAUCCGGAAUUAUUGGGCGUAAAGAGCUCGUANGCGGUUUGUCGCGUCUGCUGUGAAAGACCGGGGCUCAACUCCGGUUCUGCAGUGGGUAC
Molecule: ribosomal RNA, 586 nt
Filed under: Arthrobacter sp. RSW-2
Lineage: Bacteria; Bacillati; Actinomycetota; Actinomycetes; Micrococcales; Micrococcaceae
Description: bacterial SSU rRNA
Rfam family: Bacterial small subunit ribosomal RNA
Source: RNAcentral